AGUGAACGCUGGCGGUAGGCCUAACACAUGCAAGUCGAACGGCAGCACAGUAAGAGCUUGCUCUUACGGGUGGCGAGUGGCGGACGGGUGAGGAAUACAUCGGAAUCUACUUUUUCGUGGGGGAUAACGUAGGGAAACUUACGCUAAUACCGCAUACGACCUACGGGUGAAAGCAGGGGAUCUUCGGACCUUGCGCGAUUGAAUGAGCCGAUGUCGGAUUAGCUAGUUGGCGGGGUAAAGGCCCACCAAGGCGACGAUCCGUAGCUGGUCUGAGAGGAUGAUCCGCCACAUGGGAAGUGAGAGGCGGUGGAGACGCCGACGGGAGGCAGCAGUGGGGACUCUUGGGGGAGGGGGGCGAGGGGGAUCUAGGCAUCUGGGGGGAGUGAAGAAGGCGUGAGGGUUCGAAAGUCAUUUAGUUCGAAAAGAAAAAAAGCCGGUUAAUACCCCGUUGUUAUGACGGUACCCAAAGAAUAAGCACCGGCUAACUCCGUG
This 492-nucleotide ribosomal RNA is filed under the name uncultured bacterium. RNAcentral's name for it is "partial 16S ribosomal RNA". It matches the Rfam family "Bacterial small subunit ribosomal RNA", at positions 30 to 507 of the family's 1533-position model. The record is from RNAcentral.